GCAAACUCUGUGUCAUAAACCCCAACAUCUCACAGAUGAAAAUGACCAAGCAACAUCAGCAUGUGGUCAAGAUGACGCUAGCAACAGGAGAGGACAGACAAGCAGUUGAACUAAGGACAAAAAGGAAAAAUGGAAAGAGAACAGGCAUUGAAAAUGGAAUGAGGGGGAGCAUACCAUCAGGACUGUCCCUGACAAGUUGGGAUAAUGGGAGGUUGCAGAAAAUGAACACAUCAAGCUACUCUGGGACUUCCAAAUUCAGACUGACAGAGUUUUGGAGCACAAUACUCCUGACCUCACGAUCAAUCGUGUUAAAAAACUAAGCAUGGAUCAUCGAUGUUGCAAUCCCAGGUGACAGCAGGAUUGAAGAGAAACAACUGGAAAAGCUGACACGAUAUGAGGAUUUAAAGAUCAAACU
This is a long non-coding RNA of Anolis sagrei ordinatus, 415 nucleotides long. RefSeq lists it as uncharacterized. Lineage: Eukaryota; Metazoa; Chordata; Lepidosauria; Squamata; Anolidae. The record is from RefSeq and is a predicted model, not a curated record.